AGAGUUUGAUCCUGGCUCAGAACGAACGCUGGCGGCAGGCCUAACACAUGCAAGUCGAACGAAGUCUUCGGACUUAGUGGCGCACGGGUGAGUAACACGUGGGAAUAUACCUUUCGCUGGGGGAUAACAUCGGGAAACUGAUGCUAAUACCGCAUACGCCCUACGGGGGAAAGAUUUAUCGGCGAGAGAUUAGCCCGCGUCCGAUUAGGUAGUUGGUGAGGUAAAGGCUCACCAAGCCUUCGAUCGGUAGCUGGUCUGAGAGGAUGAUCAGCCACACUGGGACUGAGACACGGCCCAGACUCCUACGGGAGGCAGCAGUGGGGAAUAUUGGACAAUG
RNAcentral lists this ribosomal RNA (337 nucleotides) under uncultured bacterium. Its description in RNAcentral is "bacterial SSU rRNA". It matches the Rfam family "Bacterial small subunit ribosomal RNA", at positions 8 to 373 of the family's 1533-position model. The record is from RNAcentral.